RNAcentral lists this long non-coding RNA (1285 nucleotides) under Homo sapiens (human). Its description in RNAcentral is "HSALNT0336377". Lineage: Eukaryota; Metazoa; Chordata; Mammalia; Primates; Hominidae. The record is from RNAcentral.
AAAAGAACAUGUUCUGCUGGCACCUUGAUUUCUGACCCAGUGAGAGUGUGUUGGACUUAGGACCUUCAGAACUAGUGUUGACUGCAAGAUGAGGCAAAGGCAAAUAGGUGGAAUAACUGGAGAAUAACCCAGAAUGAGACACAGAAAGAGGAUUUUGAAAGGAUUUCCUUGCCUAUUAUCUGCUUUCUGAGAGAGCCACACAAAACAGGGGAAAAAACUGGAGAAUAAUGGUUGUGUCAUCAUGACAAACAACUGACAUAGUUGAGGCCAGUCGAAGGCCCAGAGCAACCCUGGUCCUGUAGUCAGAGACGACUUAUGAAAAUAAAUGAAUCUGGCUCAUUGACUUGAGUUCUUGUACCCAAACUGGAAAGGUGUGGUACCUGACACAGGAACAAAGUCUGUCUGAAAUCAGCUGUCCGGGAUGUCAUUUUCUCUAGUGCAGAGACUCGAUUGCCUAAAUUGGUAGCAGAGGUGGAUGUUUCCUAACAUGAUCUUCCUUGGCCAACAGUGACUGACAUCUGAGAUUCAGAGCCAGGGUUGAGUCCUCCUCACAGGGCGAGUUCUCUGACAAGGAAGUUUUGCAACCUAAUUUACAGCUGGAGCCAAGCUUGUCAGUGAGUGCCAGAGGGAAACUGUCGCAAUCGGCAGGCAAAGUAUAUUCAUUUAACAAGGGGAGUCUCUGAGGAGCUAUCAAAAACUGCUUGCCAUCUUUCCAAAUCAUCUCUGUCUGCAGUGACCAUGUCUUAAUCCUGAAGGAAAACAAGGACAAACCUCUUUUGGCAGUUGGGCCUGAAGCCCCAGAACUUAUGCUGGUCCUGGCACCAAUGAGGACAGAAAUGAUUGAGCACAUGAAUUUGGUGGAAAUUGAUUUUUACUUCUCUGCAGCUAAGUAUGUGGCAGUCUUGGCCACAUGGUGACUCAGCAGAGGAGCCUAUGUACUGGCUGUCCUGAUGCUCUUCCUGAUUCAACUGAUUCUCUACACUUGAUCUUAGCCAAAAGGCCGAGAAGCAAUGAUUCAACUGAUUCUCAAAAGGACACCGCUGCAGGAAUAAACCCACUUCUAAAUAUGGUACACUUGGAAAGUUGUCCAGCUCGCAAUGUCAGAGUCACAGACUUCAUGCACACUCAUCUCAAGUCAAUGUUAUCUAACACAUUUCCACUAAUUAUUGGAUGACACUAGCAAGAAACUCUGAUAUUUUUCACCUAACCUUUGCUAAUUUAAAUGUGGCCAGCCCACCCUCAUACUGCAUUGUGAUGGGGAUAUAAAAGCCAAUGAAAGAUAUCA